GAAAAUCGAAGUUACAGAAACAAUGUAUAUAAUAAAUACAUUUUUCUGUAACUCGGAAGUUUGUCAUUGUAACACCAACAUAAGAAAAUUAAUUAUUGCAACAUUUAGCAAUAUCUGUUUAACUUUUUACCUUGUGUACCGCCAUUAAACUUUAAUUUAAAAGAAUUAUAAAGUUAAUGUUAUACAGAUACUAUUUUUUUGUAGUAGUCUUUAAAAAUGUUAUAAAAUGCCCAAGUAAAAACUUUAAUUUGGUUUUUUAUGUUUCUGAUAUUUCUUGAGCUUUAAAUAUUAACUUAACUGUGUGGUUGUGGUUUAAAAAAAUAAAGAAAUACUUACAACAUGCCCAUUUCGUAAAAAGUAAUUGACAUCAAUUGUCAUGGAGUUCUUAUUGGUGUUGGCUAUAUUGUUUGUAAGUUUAGCGCAGGUUAAUGAUUAUGUUUUUAAUGUACUUGUCCUGGAGACAAUCGUACCCUUUUUGAAA
Hydra vulgaris (swiftwater hydra) is the source of this 481-nucleotide long non-coding RNA. RefSeq lists it as uncharacterized. The record is from RefSeq and is a predicted model, not a curated record. Lineage: Eukaryota; Metazoa; Cnidaria; Hydrozoa; Anthoathecata; Hydridae.